GAUGAACGCUGGCGGCGUGCCUAAUACAUGCAAGUCGAGCGAACCACUUCGGUGGGAAGCGGCGAACGGGUGAGUAACACGUAGGUAAUCUGCCCAUCAGACGGGGACAACGAUUGGAAACGAUCGCUAAUACCGGAUAGGACGAAAGUUUAAAGAUGCUCCUGGCAUCACUGAUGGAUGAGCCUGCGGCGCAUUAGCUAGUUGGUGGGGUAAAGGCCUACCAAGGCGACGAUGCGUAGCCGACCUGAGAGGGUGAACGGCCACACUGGGACUGAGACACGGUCCAA
This 287-nucleotide ribosomal RNA is filed under the name uncultured bacterium. RNAcentral's name for it is "partial 16S ribosomal RNA". It matches the Rfam family "Bacterial small subunit ribosomal RNA", at positions 28 to 334 of the family's 1533-position model. The record is from RNAcentral.